Molecule: ribosomal RNA, 534 nt
Filed under: uncultured archaeon
Lineage: Archaea
Description: bacterial SSU rRNA
Rfam family: Archaeal small subunit ribosomal RNA
Source: RNAcentral
AAACUUUACAAUGCGGGAAACCGUGAUAAGGGGACACCGAGUGCCAGCAUCAUAUGCUGGCUGUCCAGGUGUGUAAAAUACACCUGUUAGCAAGGGCCGGGCAAGACCGGUGCCAGCCGCCGCGGUAACACCGGCGGCCCGAGUGGUGAUCGUGAUUAUUGGGUCUAAAGGGUCCGUAGCCGGUUUGGUCAGUCCUCCGGGAAAUCUGAUAGCUUAACUAUUAGGCUUUCGGAGGAUACUGCCAGACUUGGAACCGGGAGAGGUAAGAGGUACUACAGGGGUAGGAGUGAAAUCUUGUAAUCCCUGUGGGACCACCUGUGGCGAAGGCGUCUUACCAGAACGGGUUCGACGGUGAGGGACGAAAGCUGGGGGCACGAACCGGAUUAGAUACCCGGGUAGUCCCAGCCGUAAACGAUGCUCGCUAGGUGUCAGGCAUGGCGCGACCGUGUCUGGUGCCGCAGGGAAGCCGUGAAGCGAGCCACCUGGGAAGUACGGCCGCAAGGCUGAAACUUAAAGGAAUUGGCGGGGGAGCAC